Selaginella moellendorffii is the source of this 2839-nucleotide RNA transcript. It is a transcript of the gene named leucine-rich repeat-containing protein 45, with no coding region annotated. The transcript has 6 exons. The record is from RefSeq and is a predicted model, not a curated record. Lineage: Eukaryota; Viridiplantae; Streptophyta; Lycopodiopsida; Selaginellales; Selaginellaceae.
CCGAAGAAAAACUCUCGCCAUCUUCCUUCUCGGCCAAGCAAGAACACGCCUUGAUCGCGGCAACUAGAGUCCAGGCAUCCGGCUCACAGUCCAUGCACGACGAGAAGAUCUCCAAGCCCAGCUCUGGAUCACCAUUCUCGACGUAGCCCAUCAAGAGGACGUUCCAAGAGACCACCGUGCGAGCUCCCAUGGCGUCGAAAACACUCCUGGCAUCCACCAUGCUCCAGCACUUCGCGUACAUAUCCACCAGUGUGUUCUCCACGUAGAUACCAGCCAAGAAUCCUCUUCUCAGUGCCUCGGCGUGGAGAGCCUUCCCCUUUCUAAGAUCCCUGGCGCUACUGCAAGCCCGGAGCUCGCAAAUAAAUCUCGACCUGGAUCUAUUGCCACUGGAAAUCCUCGCAAUCGAUGCUUCUUCUUCACUGUUGCUCCAAAUCUUUGCGAUUUCUUUAUUCACAGAUGCUUCUUCUUCCCGAUUCUUCAAUGGAGCCGCGAUCGCGAUCGAUUCUUGGCUAGUUCCCGAUCCUUUUGCCGCGAUGGAGGAGCUGAGCGAUCGAAAUCCAGCGCUGGAGUGUCGCUUGGACCUACAUUUGCUCCAGGGAACCAUAAACCCUGGAGAAUCCUUCUUGAUUCCUGGAUCCUUUCCUUCACUGCUUACCGAUCUUUCUGCCUCGAUCUAUGCGCGACAGCGGCCCAAGAGUGAGGAAAUAUUUUAGGGUUUAUGCGAAGAGAUGGCCGCAUUGUCUAGCCCAGCGGCUUUUCGCGGGAGGCGGCUGGAAUCCUCGUCCACAGCGCAGGCGCACAGCUCCAAGAAGGAUCAGGUACGCGUUCCUCGCAAGCGCGGCUGCUCGAAUGGAAUCGCCGCAAAGAAAGACGCCAGCGAGAGAUUUCCAUCGCGAUCGGGCAAGCGCCCCAAGUGGGAGCUGUUUGGAGGCGCUGCAGCUGUUCUUGGCGGUAGCAGCAUUGCGGCUUUCGGAUUAUCCAAGCUGGGAUUCGGCUCUGGUUCCUCGGAUUUUGGAAAUCCCGAGAUAGGAAGUGGAGGAAGUGGAGGAGCAAGGAAUAGCGGUCGUGGCGGUGGUCGUGGCGGUGGCGGCGGUGGCAGUAGAGGGAACGAAGCCACUCUUCACAGGCCUGUGCUUGGCGAAAACAAAGAAGAAGAUAGCAAAGAAGAACGAGGAAAGGGUCUCGUGGAAGAGGUUGCGUCUUCGGUAAUCGAGCAAUUGUCUCGCAGCGACAAUCUUGCGAAAGCUUCCGAGACUGGAGCACUCAAGAGACUCCAAAAGGAAGCAUUCACGGAUAUUAUGAAGCUGCGUGAAAAGUUUGAGAAGCUCGAGCUCGGCCUGUCUACGAAGGAUUUUUCGAGUGGUCUUGAAAGAACAACGAUCAAAGGCAGGGUGGCUGCAGGAGGAGCUUUCGUGCUCAUGCAGGAUUCAAGUAGCUACAACUCACGCUCGGCAUUGGAGCAGUCUGGGCUCCCAGCCGGGCUCGAGGCAGAGUUUACUUUCCAGACGGCUUUUCGGGACGACAAUGAUCUACUGACGACGAAAUGUGUGUCCGGGGAUGGUGGCUUCGGUACUAGUGGCCUUGGAGGACCAAUUCGACUUGCGAAGAUUUCUUACGCAACAAAAGUUACGGACGAGACGAAGUUUUCUUUGGUUCCUCUGGGUGCUCAAGCUACGGACAUGACAGAAGUUGUGAAUCCUCUCCAGGGCGAGGCACUGACAAAGUUUACGAGCUCUGGUCCUUCUCUCUUCAGCCACUGCAAAGGCUCCGCAAUCGGUGCAACUUACAGGAGCUCAAACACGCUCGCCUCUCUGUCAGAGUACAUCUCCGGCUGGGGCGAUUCGAACGGACUUCUCUGCCUGAGUACGCUCGCGCAGUUUAUCCAUCAGCCGACCGAGCAGCUAGCGCUCUCUCUCUCCGCGCUCAACCGCUUCUGGCCGAGUCCACCACUGCCGUCGGCAACUGGUUUACACUGGAGCGAGAUGAAGCCUUUCGUCCUCUCAAAGUCCCUGCGCUCAUCGGGUGUAGAUACAAUGAGAACGUCAGGCUCAAGCUCCGUUUCUCAAGCGCUCAGCAACGGAGAUAGGUGGAGUUUAGAGGCUCCGGCAUACGAACCGAAAGGCACUGCGAUGCAAGCGUUUGCCAUGUCGGGAGAGAUGGACCUUGGCGGAGGUGCUUGUCUCGGAGGCUGGCUACAGAUGGAAAGAGGCGACUGGUUACAGGAUGACGAUCAGAAAAAGCUGGUGUGGUCUCUAAGUCUGGCACAGGAGGCGUCAGUGGACAGUGUGGGCUGGGGAGUCAGUCUCGGACGAUCGAGACGAGAUUUCUGGAGCUCCCUCAAGGACGAGGAGUCGGAUGUCAUAGGAAGGCAGGCCGAGGUGUCGUCUACGCAGUUCCAAGUGGAAGCGUUUCUGAAGUAUGACUUUGGACAACGAUUUACGCUCCAGCCCGGGUUGUUGUAUGUCCUCAACAAACAAUGCCAGACACCGGCUUUGAUGGUCAAGGGUGAGUGGAAGCUGUGACGAAGAACAAGGUUAUUUUCUUUAUUUCUUUCUUUCUUUCUUUCGUUUUUUUCCUUUUGAACGUCCCGAUCAACGCCACCGUCGGAAAGACGAACAAGAGUUUACUUUUGCAAGCUCCACGAGUAAGUAAACAAGAGAUCUCUUCCUAUAGCUUGUGCGUACUGAACUCUAGCGCCGCCUGAGGAGAAGUUUUUGAGACAUGAAUCGCAAGAUUCAGUCUUGGAAUGACGCUGUGUGGCCAAGCUCAGGCGCGUUUUUUGCUUCAAAUUUUUGGAAAGACUCUCUUUUAUAGAAUAAAAAGAGCCAACUUUUGGAGA